AGCUCACCACCUCAAGAGGACACAUGAAGAGACCUGGAAACAAAGGACUUUAACAAGGGAGGAAGAAACAGAUGAACCCAGGUCAGAAAAAAGAUCAGCUUGGGCCUGAAGACCUUUACAUGAAAUAAGGACUAGGCUUUUGCCUCUGCUACUCCACAAACUGGAAAUAAGGAUGGCCCUUCUGUCCUUGACUCCACCUGCACCCAUUCCUUAAAGACUAGCACAUGACAAACUUUCUCUACAAGAUGGGCACAUGACCUGUAUGGUUGAGUAUCAGAUGAACUACAGCCAAAAUUCAUAUACAAGCAACAGUCAGAAUGACAUCGUGUCUACAGAACCUGUACUGGUGGCCAGGGAUGGAGGUGAAAUUGAAGCAGCUAUACAAAAAUGCAUUACUUCAAGAAAGGAGUGAUUGCUGUCUCCUGUGUCAUCGUCGUGAUCCGCCUGUGCUGGAGAGCCCAUGAGGACCUCCAGCAGGAGCAUAUGGCUGCCCUGUGAGCCCUGCAGUGCUCCAUGGAUCAGCAGGACUGGAGACUAGAGGACCACCUCCAGCUGCACCACAACACCUGGUGAGAGCUGCUGCAGCAGGGUCAAUCCAUCUGUACAGCCUUCCAUAUGGUCAUCAACCACCUGGUGGCUACUCCCAUGCUGGCUCCCACCCCUCUAGCUUCCCCCACAACCCUCCUCCAUGGCCACUGAGGACCCUGAACAUGAGGCAGUGGCACUACCCAAU
Pelodiscus sinensis (Chinese soft-shelled turtle) is the source of this 733-nucleotide non-coding RNA. The record is from RefSeq and is a predicted model, not a curated record. Lineage: Eukaryota; Metazoa; Chordata; Testudines; Trionychidae.